This 425-nucleotide ribosomal RNA is filed under the name uncultured bacterium. RNAcentral's name for it is "bacterial SSU rRNA". It matches the Rfam family "Bacterial small subunit ribosomal RNA", at positions 359 to 776 of the family's 1533-position model. The record is from RNAcentral.
GAAUAUUGGACAAUGGGCGAAAGCCUGAUCCAGCCAUGCCGCGUGUGUGAAGAAGGUCUUCGGAUUGUAAAGCACUUUAAGUUGGGAGGAAGGAUUGUAGAUUAAUACUCUGCAAUUUUGACGUUACCGACAGAAUAAGCACCGGCUAACUCUGUGCCAGCAGCCGCGGUAAUACAGAGGGUGCAAGCGUUAAUCGGAAUUACUGGGCGUAAAGCGGGCGUAGGUGGUUCGUUAAGUUGGAUGUGAAAUCCCCGGGCUCAACCUGGGAACUGCAUCCAAAACUGCUGAGCUAGAGUACGGUAGAGGGUAGUGGAAUUUCCUGUGUAGCGGUGAAAUGCGUAGAUAUAGGAAGGAACACCAGUGGCGAAGGCGACUACCUGGACUGAUACUGACACUGAGGUGCGAAAGCGUGGGGAGCAAACAGG